GAUGAACGCUGGCGGCGCGCCUAAUACACGCAAGUCGAGCGAACGGACGAGAAGCUUGCUUCUCUGAUGUUAGAGGCGGAAGGGUGAGUAACACGUGGAUAACCUAACUAUAAGACUGGGAUAACUACGGGAAACCGGAGCUAAAACAGGAUGAUAUUAUGAACAGAAUGGUUCAAAAGUGAAAGACGGUAUUGCUGUCAGUUAUAGAUGGAUCCGAGCUGCAUUAGCUAGUUGGUAAGGUAACGGCUUACCAAGGAAACGAUGCAUAGCCGACCUGAGAGGCUCUUCUGCCCCACUAGAUCUUCAGCACGUUCCUGACCCCUACGGUAGGCAUCAGUAUGCUAUCUUCCGCAAUGCUCGACACCCUGACGUAGCAACGCCGCGUCAGUGAUGAAGAUCUUCGGAUCCUAAAACUCUGUUAUUAGGGAAGAACAUAUGUGUAAGUAACUGUGCACAUCUUGACGGUACCUAAUCAGAAAGCCACGGCUAACUACGUG
RNAcentral lists this ribosomal RNA (497 nucleotides) under uncultured bacterium. Its description in RNAcentral is "partial 16S ribosomal RNA". It matches the Rfam family "Bacterial small subunit ribosomal RNA", at positions 28 to 507 of the family's 1533-position model. The record is from RNAcentral.